This 406-nucleotide ribosomal RNA is filed under the name uncultured bacterium. RNAcentral's name for it is "partial 16S ribosomal RNA". It matches the Rfam family "Bacterial small subunit ribosomal RNA", at positions 29 to 526 of the family's 1533-position model. The record is from RNAcentral.
AUUGAACGCUGGCGGCAGGCCUAACACAUGCAAGUCGAACGAGUGGCGGACGGGUGAGUAAUGUCUGGGAAACUGCCUGAUGGAGGGGGAUAACUACUGGAAACGGUAGCUAAUACCGCAUACCAUCGGAUGUGCCCAGAUGGGAUUAGCUUGUUGGUGGGGUAAAGGCUCACCCAGGCGACGAUCCCGAGCGGGUCGGAGAUGAGGACCAGCCACACGGGAAAUGAGACACGGUCCAGACUCCGACGGGAGGCAGCAGUGGGUAAUAUUGCACAAUGGGCGCAAGCCGGAUGCAGCCAUGCCGCGUGUAUGAAGAAGGCCUUCGGGUUGUAAAGUACUUUCAGCGGGGAGGCGUUACCCGCAGAAGAAGCACCGGCUAACUCCGUGCCAGCAGCCGCGGUAAUAC